RNAcentral lists this ribosomal RNA (253 nucleotides) under uncultured Oscillospira sp. Its description in RNAcentral is "partial 16S ribosomal RNA". It matches the Rfam family "Bacterial small subunit ribosomal RNA", at positions 524 to 776 of the family's 1533-position model. Lineage: Bacteria; Bacillati; Bacillota; Clostridia; Eubacteriales; Oscillospiraceae. The record is from RNAcentral.
UACGUAGGGAGCGAGCGUUAUCCGGAUUUACUGGGUGUAAAGGGCGUGUAGGCGGGAUGGCAAGUCAGGCGUGAAAACUAUGGGCUCAACCCAUAGCCUGCGUUUGAAACUGUCGUUCUUGAGUACUGGAGAGGCAGACGGAAUUCCUAGUGUAGCGGUGAAAUGCGUAGAUAUUAGGAGGAACACCAGUGGCGAAGGCGGUCUGCUGGACAGCAACUGACGCUGAGGCGCGAAAGCGUGGGGAGCAAACAGG